ACGCUCGACACCUACGGUAGGCAGCAGUGAGGAAUAUUGGUCAAUGGGCGCAGGCCUGAACCAGCCAAGUAGCGUGAAGGAUGACUGCCCUAUGGGUUGUAAACUUCUUUUAUAUGGGAAUAAAGUUUUCCACGUGUGGAAUUUUGUAUGUACCAUAUGAAUAAGGAUCGGCUAACUCCGUGCCAGCAGCCGCGGUAAUCUGAGCGGGCUGGCAAGGC
This 218-nucleotide ribosomal RNA is filed under the name uncultured bacterium. RNAcentral describes it as "partial 16S ribosomal RNA". It matches the Rfam family "Bacterial small subunit ribosomal RNA", at positions 326 to 539 of the family's 1533-position model. The record is from RNAcentral.